RNAcentral lists this ribosomal RNA (1603 nucleotides) under Salmonella enterica subsp. enterica serovar Cerro. RNAcentral describes it as "partial 23S ribosomal RNA". It matches the Rfam family "Bacterial large subunit ribosomal RNA", at positions 1217 to 2802 of the family's 2925-position model. Lineage: Bacteria; Pseudomonadati; Pseudomonadota; Gammaproteobacteria; Enterobacterales; Enterobacteriaceae. The record is from RNAcentral.
UGUGUUGUUGGGUAGGGGAGCGUUCUGUAAGCCUGCGAAGGUGGCCUGUGAGGGUUGCUGGAGGUAUCAGAAGUGCGAAUGCUGACAUAAGUAACGAUAAAGCGGGUGAAAAGCCCGCUCGCCGGAAGACCAAGGGUUCCUGUCCAACGUUAAUCGGGGCAGGGUGAGUCGACCCCUAAGGCGAGGCCGAAAGGCGUAGUCGAUGGGAAACGGGUUAAUAUUCCCGUACUUGGUGUUACUGCGAAGGGGGGACGGAGAAGGCUAUGUUGGCCGGGCGACGGUUGUCCCGGUUUAAGCGUGUAGGUGUGUGUUCCAGGUAAAUCCGGUUCACUUUAACACUGAGGCGUGAUGACGAGGCACUACGGUGCUGAAGCAACAAAUGCCCUGCUUCCAGGAAAAGCCUCUAAGCAUCAGGUAACAUCAAAUCGUACCCCAAACCGACACAGGUGGUCAGGUAGAGAAUACCAAGGCGCUUGAGAGAACUCGGGUGAAGGAACUAGGCAAAAUGGUGCCGUAACUUCGGGAGAAGGCACGCUGACACGUAGGUGAAGUGAUUUACUCAUGGAGCUGAAGUCAGUCGAAGAUACCAGCUGGCUGCAACUGUUUAUUAAAAACACAGCACUGUGCAAACACGAAAGUGGACGUAUACGGUGUGACGCCUGCCCGGUGCCGGAAGGUUAAUUGAUGGGGUCAGCGCAAGCGAAGCUCCUGAUCGAAGCCCCGGUAAACGGCGGCCGUAACUAUAACGGUCCUAAGGUAGCGAAAUUCCUUGUCGGGUAAGUUCCGACCUGCACGAAUGGCGUAAUGAUGGCCAGGCUGUCUCCACCCGAGACUCAGUGAAAUUGAACUCGCUGUGAAGAUGCAGUGUACCCGCGGCAAGACGGAAAGACCCCGUGAACCUUUACUAUAGCUUGACACUGAACAUUGAGCCUUGAUGUGUAGGAUAGGUGGGAGGCUUUGAAGUGUGGACGCCAGUCUGCAUGGAGCCGACCUUGAAAUACCACCCUUUAAUGUUUGAUGUUCUAACGUGGACCCGUGAUCCGGGUUGCGGACAGUGUCUGGUGGGUAGUUUGACUGGGGCGGUCUCCUCCUAAAGAGUAACGGAGGAGCACGAAGGUUGGCUAAUCCUGGUCGGACAUCAGGAGGUUAGUGCAAUGGCAUAAGCCAGCUUGACUGCGAGCGUGACGGCGCGAGCAGGUGCGAAAGCAGGUCAUAGUGAUCCGGUGGUUCUGAAUGGAAGGGCCAUCGCUCAACGGAUAAAAGGUACUCCGGGGAUAACAGGCUGAUACCGCCCAAGAGUUCAUAUCGACGGCGGUGUUUGGCACCUCGAUGUCGGCUCAUCACAUCCUGGGGCUGAAGUAGGUCCCAAGGGUAUGGCUGUUCGCCAUUUAAAGUGGUACGCGAGCUGGGUUUAGAACGUCGUGAGACAGUUCGGUCCCUAUCUGCCGUGGGCGCUGGAGAACUGAGGGGGGCUGCUCCUAGUACGAGAGGACCGGAGUGGACGCAUCACUGGUGUUCGGGUUGUCAUGCCAAUGGCACUGCCCGGUAGCUAAAUGCGGAAGAGAUAAGUGCUGAAAGCAUCUAAGCACGAAACUUGCCCCGA